Molecule: ribosomal RNA, 491 nt
Filed under: uncultured bacterium
Lineage: Bacteria
Description: partial 16S ribosomal RNA
Rfam family: Bacterial small subunit ribosomal RNA
Source: RNAcentral
AGUGAACGCUGGCGGUAGGCCUAACACAUGCAAGUCGAACGGCAGCACAGUAAGAGCUUGCUCUUACGGGUGGCGAGUGGCGGACGGGUGAGGAAUACAUCGGAAUCUACUUUUUCGUGGGGGAUAACGUAGGGAAACUUACGCUAAUACCGCAUACGACCUACGGGUGAAAGCAGGGGAUCUUCGGACCUUGCGCGAUUGAAUGAGCCGAUGUCGGAUUAGCUAGUUGGCGGGGUAAAGGCCCACCAAGGCGACGAUCCGUAGCCGGUCUGAGAGGAUGAUCAGCCACACUGGAACUGAGACACGGUCCAGACUCCUACGGGAGGCAGCAGUGGGGAAUAUUGGACAGUGGGCGCAAGCCUGAUCCAGCCAUACCGCGUGGGUGAAGAAGGCCUUCGGGUUGUAAAGCCCUUUUGUUGGGAAAGAAAAGCAGCAGGUUAAUACCCCGCUGUUCUGACGGUACCCAAAGAAUAAGCACCGGCUAACUUCGU